UACGUAGGGGGCUAGCGUUGUUCGGAAUUACUGGGCGUAAAGCGCACGUAGGCGGCUUUGCAAGUUAGAGGUGAAAGCCCGGGGCUCAACUCCGGAAUUGCCUUUAAAACUGCAUCGCUAGAAUUGUGGAGAGGUGAGUGGAAUUCCGAGUGUAGAGGUGAAAUUCGUAGAUAUUCGGAAGAACACCAGUGGCGAAGGCGGCUUACUGGACACAUAUUGACGCUGAGACGCGAAAGCGUGGGGAGCAAACAGG
This 253-nucleotide ribosomal RNA is filed under the name uncultured bacterium. RNAcentral describes it as "partial 16S ribosomal RNA". It matches the Rfam family "Bacterial small subunit ribosomal RNA", at positions 524 to 776 of the family's 1533-position model. The record is from RNAcentral.